AAAGUCGUAACAAGGUUUCCGUAGGUGAACCUGCGGAAGGAUCAUUAGUGAAUUUUAGGGUGCUUUGCUUUACCGCGAAGGCCUGACCUCCACUCUCUAACCCAUUGUGCAUCAAAAAUACAACCGAACUUUGUGAUAGACUGAAAGAGCUUAACCGCUUGAUUACGUUUUUUCACAGUGAGGUUUCACCUUUAAAACACCAAGUCAAAGAAUGUAAUACAAACCAAAACAAAAUAAAACUUUCAACAACGGAUCUCUUGGCUCUC
Molecule: unclassified non-coding RNA, 266 nt
Filed under: Basidiomycota sp.
Lineage: Eukaryota; Fungi; Basidiomycota
Description: partial contains small subunit ribosomal RNA, internal transcribed spacer 1, and 5.8S ribosomal RNA
Rfam family: Eukaryotic small subunit ribosomal RNA (bases 1-47)
Source: RNAcentral